RNAcentral lists this long non-coding RNA (2895 nucleotides) under Gallus gallus (chicken). The record is from RNAcentral. Lineage: Eukaryota; Metazoa; Chordata; Aves; Galliformes; Phasianidae.
CAACACGCAGUGAAUAGAUGUGUUGCUCCAGACUCUCUGAAAAUUCCAGCUGAAUUCACAGGUCUGAUCCAUCAAAAAUUCCAACGGACUGGCCAGAGUGGUGUCAGAGUACACAUCCCUCAAGGUUUAGAAGAGAUGUCUAGACGGCACAUGGUUUAAUAUGAUGGGACUUGAGAUCACCUAGAAAGAGUACAGCAGAGGGCCACAAAGAUGAUGAGGGACAUGGAGUAUAUCCUGUAUGAUGAAAAGCUGAGGGACCUGGGACCGUUCAUCCUGGAGAAGAGAAAAUAGGAAGAUCCAUACAAACACAAGGAAGAAGUUUACUGUGAGAGUGGUAGAACACUGGAACAGGCUGCCCAGAGAGGUUGUGGAGACUGCUUCUCUGGAGAUAAUUAAGACCUGUCUGGACACUUUCCUGUGCAACCUACUGAAAGAAACCUGUUGUAGCAAGAGGUUGGGCUCAAUGAUCUCCAGAGGCCUCUUCUAACCCAUACAAAUCUGUGUUCAUGUUUUUCUCAUCCUUGCAAAUUAUACAGGAGCAGGAAUGGACUUUUCAUUUUUAUUUUUUCUGGCUUAAUUUAGAAUAUUGGAUCUGAUUUUUUUUUUCUAUUAAUUGAAUCCUGAUAGAUACUACACAUAAGUAUCUCAAAAAUUUUCUGUAAUUUAACAUGCUAUAAAAAAGCAAUAUUGUGCCCAUUUUACAGAUGAUAAGUGAGAAUCAAAGUAAGUUUAAUCAACAAGCUCUCAAAAGCCUCUCAAUUCUUGCAUCCCGUUUAGGAAUCUGUUCCAUUCAAAUAAAUGUGGAAUUUAAAAGUUUUGAAAUUUGGCUAAACUAAAAAUUAAAAUCAUAUUUAAUAUGCAUAAGUUUAAAUAAUAUGGUGGGUGUAGGUAUAAAGAAUGUAGAUGUAUGUGUUCUCAGGAGUAAAAACAUGCCGUUUUCUUUAACUUUUUAAAAAUUCAUAAUUAAAAAAUGAUUUCUACAAAUGAUAUUCCUGAGAUCUAAAGAAGGAUUAAGAGCAACUUAAUCCCAGCUAGGUAUGUUGAAUUGUUAUCCUGCUUUAGUGGCUUCUGAUAGGCAGUAAGUUCCACCUCUGGUCCCUUUGGGAACUGACUGGGACUGGCUCUGAUCUGACAUGAGUCAGCUGUUGGGCUCUGCUCACAGCAGUCCCUGCUACCAAACCUUUGCCAUGUAAAUGUAAUAUACAUAUAUUAAAUAAUCAUGUGGGGAAAAAAAAAAAAGACAAAACAACAAAACAACAAAAUCACUUCAAAACGCAAUGAGAGGAAGUAUUCUAUGGUUCUAUACCAUCCCUGGAGGUGUUGAAGAAAAGUUUAGAUGUUGUACUGAGGUACGUGGUUUAGAGGGAAAUAUUAGUGAUAGGUAGAGAGUCAGACUGGAUGAUCUCAGAGGUCUUUUCUAACCUUAGUGAUUCUAUGAUACAGAACAACUGUAUCUGAAUUGAAUCCAGGUAAUUUCAUUUUAACUAAUUUCAAAUGAAGGGACCAAGCUAAGGCUGGGUAGUGCAGGCUGUAAUAGACUGAACAUCAGUUGUAGAUGAGUUAUCAGUGGUAAAAAUAAAUGUAUCAGAAUGAGAACAAGAAAUAUACUGAAGGUGAUAAGAAAGACUCUGCUAGUUGUAAGUAGCAGUAAUGUCACUGAGUAGUUUACAACAACCUAAAAAAAAAUUUAAAGAGGAAAAAGAGGAAUACCAAGUUUCUUCAAAAUUUAUUUGCAUCAAUCAAUCAAUGAAUAAAUAGAAGGGAAACAAAAUAAAUGAAUAAAUGAGUAAAUGAAUAAAUGGAAGGGAAACAAUAUAGGUUGAAAUAAAUCAGAAAUUCUCCUUUUUUUUUUUUCUUUCCCAUGAAAUGUUGUGAACAAAUAAGAUUGCUUGAUUAAAACCCGUUUUCAUUAAAAAAAUUGUACUAAUAGUGUCCUCUUAUAGUAGAUGGACUAAAAUGCCCAAGAUGUUUGUGAACUAUUCCUGAAAGGCAAGGAUGGUAAAAACUUUCACCUAAAACAGCUACUCAGCUCAAGGUAUCAGACACAGUAAAGGCUGUGGACAAGCAAAUAUGCGAUGAUGUUGGAUGUGAUGAUGUUUACUGAUGCAAGAAGUCUGGGAUAUCACCACUUGUAGCCAAAAAAACUUGUGUGGGAAAAAAAAUACAAGGCAGAAAAAAUUAUUAUGUAUUAGUGGGAAGGAUCUUGUGACUGAGUAAGCUUCCAGUUAGAACUACUUCUGCAAGGUAAAAUAGGAAAAUAUAAAAACAAGAAGAAGAAGAAGAAAAAGCUCUAAAUGUACUUGUGGAGAGGAGCACACGGCAGCAGGUGUAUUGGCAUUGCCUGUGGCAAGUGAAUAAUCCUGAUCCCGAAUCCUAACUUCCUGAAAGUCAGAUUGAUGGACAUGAUGGAGUUUGGUGGUAGUUCUUUUUUCCACAUUUCCCAUUUUCCCUCUACUCCAAUUUUGUGUAUAUACUUUGAGAUAUUGUGGCCCUGUUUAUAAUUAUAUCUGCUGAGUGAAUCUGGAUUUUGAGAAUGCUUUUCCUUGAGUUUCAUUGUGUCAGUAACAUCUGAGAAUCAGCUGCAAAAUGAAAAUCUCUAUCAUUUGAGGUAUGACUCUCCGUGCCUUCUCUCAUGAGGACACUCUAAUUAAUACUGUCUUUAAAAACAAAUUACUUUUAAAGAUUUAAUUAACACAGAGUAGUGACAUUUUUAGGUUUAAGCUAAGCCUGUUUCAUCAUUAAAUACUUUCAUCCUUUUUUCUUUCUCUCUUUUUGUAAGUUCUACUUGACAAUAGAAACGGUUUGCUUCUUCAGUUUAAUAAAGGCAGACUAUAGCAUAUGAAGAUUCAUGUGCCCCUCUAAGAAUCUUUUAUGUCUAAAUAGAGUACAUUAAAU